AGACAUCUACCGCCCUACAGACAUGGUGAAAAACACCCUCUGCCCAACGGACAUGGUGCAAGACACUCGCUGCCCUACAGACAUGGUGAAAAACACCAUUUGCCUGCCAGACAUGGUGCAAGACACCCGCUGCCUUGUAAACAUGGUGAAAAACGCCCUCUGCCCUGUAGACGUAGCGUAAGAUGCCCUCUGCCUUACAGACAUAACAUAACCAC
Molecule: long non-coding RNA, 215 nt
Filed under: Malus domestica (apple)
Lineage: Eukaryota; Viridiplantae; Streptophyta; Magnoliopsida; Rosales; Rosaceae
Description: long non-coding RNA (MDOM_LNC015476)
Source: RNAcentral